Long non-coding RNA from Lolium perenne, 1343 nucleotides. RefSeq lists it as uncharacterized. Lineage: Eukaryota; Viridiplantae; Streptophyta; Magnoliopsida; Poales; Poaceae. The record is from RefSeq and is a predicted model, not a curated record.
CUUCCCGAGGUCGCCGCAGCGGAGCCUCCACCAACUGUCACGCCGUCGGCGCACCCGUUUUUCCGGCGGGGACAUAGGCGCCCGCGACGGCACGCUCGCCAUCCUCGCCGGCGGGGACGAGGCCGUGGUGGCCUGCCUCGCGCCGCUCUUCUCGCAUCUCGGCAGGCCUAUAUGGGCCCUCCCGGCAGCGGCCAGAGCAGCAAGAUUGCCAACCAGAUGGUCGUCGCCGGCCCGGUGGUCGGCCUCGGCGAGUCUCUGUGCGGCAGUUCCUAGGCACGAUCUCCAAGGGCGUGGCGGGGUCGCGCAGCCGCGACUUCGUGUUAGAGGUGCCGUGCGGUACAUCAUCAAGAACCUCUGCAUGGCGCUGGAGAUCGGGGACAGCCAAGAGGAGGUCAAUGUGCGCCGUGAGGAGCACCUCCGAUGGAGCCUGGCCGCCUCCAUGUGUUCCAUGUGGGAAUUUCUUUCCGCCCCCUUUCUAUUUCAACUCAUAUCCAUGGAGAAGUCACAGGAAUCCCAAUCCCCUCAAGAAUCUAAUCCUCCAAACUGAAUCCAAGGUGUUGUGGCCGAUUGAAGGCACCAAUGUCACAUCUGCUGCUGGCAAAGAAGAUGACGCUGAGGUGUUGUUUCUGGUUCAUUAGAUUUCUUCAUCUGUGUAGUUUUAUAUUGUGCAUCCUAGCUAGGCACAAGUACUCUAAAAGGUUUGAAAUAUGAUACUUUCCCCUGCAAACUUUUGUGUUGGCUUUUCAUGUUGAUGCCAACAAAUGAUAUUUAGGAACCAUUUUAUUCCUUGUGUAAUGAAAGUGAUUUAGAGGAGAAAAAUGCCAGGGAUGCAUUCUCACAGAAAGCACUGAAUCGGCAGAAGUUGAAUGGUAGAAACUGAAACUCUCAACUACAUGGUGAAGCCAAUAAGGGAAUCCAGCUCAAGAGCGAGGCACAUAAAUCUGAGAAAAGAGGCAAGAACCGAUUUUGUGUGUUCUUAGCUCACAUGCAAGAGAUUGUGCUCCUGGAAAGCCACCUCGACGAUCGACACGCUGGAUGAAGCAUUGGGUUGUAAUCCUGCUCCAGAUACUCUAUAGAAAGAGAGCCACUCCUCAAGGAAUUUGAGAAGCUUUCUACAUAUUGGUGGUGAAAUCCAGGCUGCUAGAUUUCAUCUGGGACAUGGAAUAGCUCCCAAAGGAAGUUGCCGGAAUAGAGGAGGAGAUUUAAUUUUGAGGGGAUGGCAUUUCAUUGCAGUGUCAGAAAUAGUGUUCCUCAGGUGCUAACGUUCUACAGCGUGGUGUUAGGCUCUGGAUCAAGCCGGAGAAUGUAAAUGCUGUGUUGUCGUUGAAGUUUGAAGGAGUACG